AGAUUGAGUUUGAUCCUGGCUCAGGACGAACGCUGGCGGCGUGCUUAACACAUGCAAGUCGAACGGUGACGAGGAGCUUGCUCCUCCGAUCAGUGGCGAACGGGUGAGUAACACGUGAGUAACCUGCCCCAGACUCUGGGAUAACAGUUGGAAACAGCUGCUAAUACCGGAUACGAGACGGAGAGGCAUCUCUACCGUCUGGAAAGUUUUUCGGUCUGGGAUGGACUCGCGGCCUAUCAGCUUGUUGGUGAGGUAAUGGCUCACCAAGGCGACGACGGGUAGCCGGCCUGAGAGGGCGACCGGCCACACUGGGACUGAGACACGGCCCAGACUCCUACGGGAGGCAGCAGUGGGGAAUAUUGCACAAUGGGCGAAAGCCUGAUGCAGCGACGCCGCGUGAGGGAUGACGGCCUUCGGGUUGUAAACCUCUUUCAGCAGGGAAGAAGCGAAAGUGACGGUACCUGCAGAAGAAGCACCGGCUAACUCCGUGCCAGCAGCCGCGGUAAAAU
RNAcentral lists this ribosomal RNA (509 nucleotides) under uncultured bacterium. RNAcentral's name for it is "bacterial SSU rRNA". It matches the Rfam family "Bacterial small subunit ribosomal RNA", at positions 1 to 526 of the family's 1533-position model. The record is from RNAcentral.